GGGGAUGUGGCGGAAUUGGUAGACGCACCAGAUUUAGGUUCUGGCGCCGAGAGGUGUGAGAGUUCGAGUCUCUCCAUCCCCACCA
Molecule: transfer RNA, 85 nt
Filed under: Psychrobacter phenylpyruvicus
Lineage: Bacteria; Pseudomonadati; Pseudomonadota; Gammaproteobacteria; Moraxellales; Moraxellaceae
Also listed under: 2 other names
Description: tRNA-Leu(tag)
Rfam family: tRNA
About the family: Transfer RNA (tRNA) molecules are approximately 80 nucleotides in length. Their secondary structure includes four short double-helical elements and three loops (D, anti-codon, and T loops). Further hydrogen bonds mediate the characteristic L-shaped molecular structure. tRNAs have two regions of fundamental functional importance: the anti-codon, which is responsible for specific mRNA codon recognition, and the 3' end, to which the tRNAs corresponding amino acid is attached (by aminoacyl-tRNA synthetases). tRNAs cope with the degeneracy of the genetic code in two manners: having more than one tRNA (with a specific anti-codon) for a particular amino acid; and 'wobble' base-pairing, i.e. permitting non-standard base-pairing at the 3rd anti-codon position.
Source: RNAcentral